AAUAGAUACCCCGGUAGUCCACGCCGUAAACGAUGGAUGCUAGCUGUUAUCGGUAUCGACCCCGGUAGUAGCGAAGCUAACGCGUUAAGCAUCCCGCCUGUGGAGUACGGUCGCAAGACUAAAACAUAAAGGAAUUGACGGGGACCCGCACAAGCGGUGGAGCGUGUUGUUUAAUUCGAUGAUAAGCGAAGAACCUUACCCAGGCUUGACAUCCUUGGAAGCUCUCCGAAAGGAGAGUGUGCUUUUGAACCAAGUGACAGGUGAUGCAUGGCCGUCGUCAGCUCGUGUCGUGAGAUGUUUGGUUAAGUCCAUCAACGAGCGCAACCCUUGUAGUUAGUUGAAUUUUUCUAGCUAGACUGCCCUGGUAACAGGGUAGGAAGGAGGGGAUGAUGUCAGGUCAGUAUUUCCCUUACGUCUGGGGCUACAAACACGCUACAAUGGCCGGUACAAAGGGCAGCCAAGUCGCGAGACGGAGCAAAUCCCAUCAAAGCCGGUCCCAGUUCGGAUAGCAGGCUGAAACUGCCUGCUUGAAGUCGG
RNAcentral lists this ribosomal RNA (537 nucleotides) under uncultured bacterium. Its description in RNAcentral is "bacterial SSU rRNA". It matches the Rfam family "Bacterial small subunit ribosomal RNA", at positions 777 to 1329 of the family's 1533-position model. The record is from RNAcentral.